RNAcentral lists this ribosomal RNA (437 nucleotides) under uncultured bacterium. Its description in RNAcentral is "bacterial SSU rRNA". It matches the Rfam family "Bacterial small subunit ribosomal RNA", at positions 338 to 772 of the family's 1533-position model. The record is from RNAcentral.
CCUACGGGAGGCAGCAGUGAGGAAUAUUGGACAAUGGAGGAAACUCUGAUCCAGCCAUGCCGCGUGAAGGAAGUAGGCCCUAUGGGUCGUGAACUUCUUUUGGCGCAGAGCAAUAAGGGCCACGCGUGGUCCGAUGAGAGUAUGCGUCGAAUAAGCAUCGGCUAACUCCGUGCCAGCAGCCGCGGUAAUACGGGGGAUGCGAGCGUUAUCCGGAUUUAUUGGGUUUAAAGGGUGCGUAGGCUGCGCGACAAGUCGGCGGUGAAACCCCGGGGCUCAACCCCGGGCCUGCCGUCGAAACUGGCGCGCUGGAGUUCGGAUGCCGUGGGAGGAAUGAGUGGUGUAGCGGUGAAAUGCAUAGAUAUCACUCAGAACACCGAUUGCGAAGGCAUCUCACGAAUCCGAGACUGACGCUGAGGCACGAAAGCGUGGGGAUCAAA